This 423-nucleotide ribosomal RNA is filed under the name uncultured bacterium. RNAcentral's name for it is "partial 16S ribosomal RNA". It matches the Rfam family "Bacterial small subunit ribosomal RNA", at positions 359 to 774 of the family's 1533-position model. The record is from RNAcentral.
GAAUAUUGGACAAUGGGCGAAAGUCUGAUCCAGCCAUGCCGCGUGUGUGAAGAAGGUCUUCGGAUUGUAAAGCACUUUAAGUAGGGUGGCAGGGCAGUAAGCGAAUACUUUGCUGUUUUGACGUUCCCGAGAGAAUAAGAACCGGCUAACUCUUUGCCAGCAGCCGCGGUAAUACAGAGGGUGCAAGCGUUAAGCGGACUUACUGGGCGUAAAGCGCGCGUAGGUGGUUCGUUAAUUUGGAUGUGAAAUCCCCGGGCUCAACCUGGGAACUGCAUCCAAAACUGGCGAGCUAGAGUAGGGCAGAGGGUGGUGGAAUUUCCUGUGUAGCGGUGAAAUGCGUAGAUAUAGGAAGGAACACCAGUGGCGAAGGCGACCACCUGGGCUCAUACUGACACUGAGGUGCGAAAGCGUGGGGAGCAAACA